Molecule: ribosomal RNA, 1343 nt
Filed under: uncultured bacterium
Lineage: Bacteria
Description: 16S ribosomal RNA
Rfam family: Bacterial small subunit ribosomal RNA
Source: RNAcentral
GACGAACGCUGGCGGCGUGCUUAACACAUGCAAGUCGAACGGAAAGGCCCUGCUUUUGUGGGGUGCUCGAGUGGCGAACGGGUGAGUAACACGUGAGUAACCUGCCCUUGACUUUGGGAUAACUUCAGGAAACUGGGGCUAAUACCGGAUAGGAGCUCCUGCUGCAUGGUGGGGGUUGGAAAGUUUCGGCGGUUGGGGAUGGACUCGCGGCUUAUCAGCUUGUUGGUGGGGUAGUGGCUUACCAAGGCUUUGACGGGUAGCCGGCCUGAGAGGGUGACCGGCCACAUUGGGACUGAGACACGGCCCAGACUCCUACGGGAGGCAGCAGUGGGGAAUAUUGCACAAUGGGCGGAAGCCUGAUGCAGCAACGCCGCGUGCGGGAUGACGGCCUUCGGGUUGUAAACCGCUUUCGCCUGUGACGAAGCGUGAGUGACGGUAAUGGGUAAAGAAGCACCGGCUAACUACGUGCCAGCAGCCGCGGUGAUACGUAGGGUGCGAGCGUUGUCCGGAUUUAUUGGGCGUAAAGGGCUCGUAGGUGGUUGAUCGCGUCGGAAGUGUAAUCUUGGGGCUUAACCCUGAGCGUGCUUUCGAUACGGGUUGACUUGAGGAAGGCAGGGGAGAAUGGAAUUCCUGGUGGAGCGGUGGAAUGCGCAGAUAUCAGGAGGAACACCAGUGGCGAAGGCGGGUCUCUGGGCCUUUCCUGACGCCGAGGAGCGAAAGCGUGGGGAGCGAACAGGCUUAGAUACCCUGGUAGUCCACGCUGUAAACGGUGGGUACUAGGUGUGGGGUCCAUUCCACGGGUUCCGUGCCGUAGCUAACGCUUUAAGUACCCCGCCUGGGGAGUACGGCCGCAAGGCUAAAACUCAAAGGAAUUGACGGGGCCCCGCACAAGCGGCGGAGCAUGCGGAUUAAUUCGAUGCAACGCGUAGAACCUUACCUGGGUUUGACAUGGAUCGGGAGUGCUCAGAGAUGGGUGUGCCUCUUUUGGGGUCGGUUCACAGGUGGUGCAUGCCUGUCGUCAGCUCGUGUCGUGAGAUGUUGGGUUAAGUCCCGCAACGAGCGCAACCCUUGUUCACUGUUGCCAGCACGUUAUGGUGGGGACUCAGUGGAGACCGCCGGGGUCAACUCGGAGGAAGGUGGGGAUGACGUCAAGUCCUCAUGCCCCUUAUGUCCAGGGCUUCACGCAUGCUACAAUGGCUGGUACAGAGAGUGGCGAGCCUGUGAGGGUGAGCGAAUCUCGGAAAGCCGGUCUCAGUUCGGAUUGGGGUCUGCAACUCGACCUCAUGAAGUCGGAGUCGCUAGUAAUCGCAGAUCAGCAACGCUGCGGUGAAUACGUUCCCGGG